This 30-nucleotide ribosomal RNA is filed under the name Uromyces vignae. RNAcentral's name for it is "partial 18S rRNA". Lineage: Eukaryota; Fungi; Basidiomycota; Pucciniomycetes; Pucciniales; Pucciniaceae. The record is from RNAcentral.
UGCAGAAGGUCAUUUUUAAUCUAAAUGGUG